GGUAGUCCACGCUGUAAACGAUGCUCACUAGAUGUGGGGGGUAUCGACCCCCUCCGCGUCGUCGCUAACGCAUUAAGUGAGCCGCCUGGGGACUACGGCCGCAAGGCUAAAACUCAAAGGAAUUGACGGGGGCCCGCACAAGCAGCGGAGCGUGUGGUUUAAUUCGAUGCGACGCGAAGAACCUUACCUGGGCUUGAACGUGCGGUGACAGUCGGUGAAAGCCGAUCUCCCUUCGGGGCACUGUGCGAGGUGCUGCACGGCUGUCGUCAGCUCGUGCCGUGAGGUGUUGGGUUAAG
RNAcentral lists this ribosomal RNA (296 nucleotides) under uncultured bacterium. Its description in RNAcentral is "partial 16S ribosomal RNA". It matches the Rfam family "Bacterial small subunit ribosomal RNA", at positions 789 to 1084 of the family's 1533-position model. The record is from RNAcentral.